RNAcentral lists this unclassified non-coding RNA (345 nucleotides) under soil metagenome. RNAcentral describes it as "partial contains 5.8S ribosomal RNA, internal transcribed spacer 2, and large subunit ribosomal RNA". The stretch from base 1 to 120 matches the Rfam family "5.8S ribosomal RNA", at positions 35 to 154 of the family's 154-position model. The record is from RNAcentral.
GAUGAAGAACGUAGCGAAAUGCGAUAAGUAAUGUGAAUUGCAGAAUUCAGUGAAUCAUCGAAUCUUUGAACGCACAUUGCGCCCCCUGGUAUUCCGGGGGGCAUGCCUGUCCGAGCGUCGUUGCUGCCCUCAAGCACGGCUUGUGUGUUGGGCCUCCGUCCUCCUCCCGGGGGACGGGCCCGAAAGGCAGCGGCGGCACCGCGUCCGGUCCUCGAGCGUAUGGGGCUUCGUCACCCGCUCUUGUAGGCCCGGCCGGCGCUUGCCGACACAUCAAUCUUUUUUCCAGGUUGACCUCGGAUCAGGUAGGGAUACCCGCUGAACUUAAGCAUAUCAAUAAGCGGAGGA